UACGUAGGUGGCAAGCGUUGUCCGGAUUUACUGGGCGUAAAGAGCGCGCAGGCGGUCGUCCAAGUCGCGUGUGAAAGCCCCCGGCUCAACUGGGGAGGGUCACGCGAUACUGGUCGACUCGAAGGCAGGAGAGGGUAGUGGAAUUCCCGGUGUAGUGGUGAAAUGCGUAGAUAUCUGGAGGAAUACCGGUGGCGAAGGCGGCAUCCUGGACCGGCAUUGACGCUGAGGAGCGAAAGCCAGGGGAGCAAACGGG
RNAcentral lists this ribosomal RNA (253 nucleotides) under uncultured bacterium. RNAcentral's name for it is "partial 16S ribosomal RNA". It matches the Rfam family "Bacterial small subunit ribosomal RNA", at positions 524 to 776 of the family's 1533-position model. The record is from RNAcentral.